Molecule: long non-coding RNA, 1511 nt
Filed under: Salmo salar (Atlantic salmon)
Lineage: Eukaryota; Metazoa; Chordata; Actinopteri; Salmoniformes; Salmonidae
Description: lncRNA (ENSSSAG00000097920.1)
Source: RNAcentral
UUGACUUCAGUUCUUUUUGGGUGACUGCUGACAGAGCCAAACAAUCUGCAGGAGGGAAGUGGAGCUGAGCUGAAUGGACUUCUACAAUGCAGGUUUCACCGUCGAGCUCUGCUGAGGUGUUACAGUAGUUGUCGCACGGAGCAGAACAGACUGAGGAGACUGGGAUGAGGUAACCAAGUAUCUUUGAUGAGGGGCCAGGAGCUCAUCUAUGCUGCUGAGGGGCCAGGAGCUCAUCUACUCCGCUAUUCUCCGGCAAAGACAUCACCUACAGCCCCACCUCUUGCCUGCUCACCAAUGGUCAUCGAUGGAACAGAAUUAGGUAGGUUUAGUCGGACUUAUUCAAACUUCAACAUAGUGUAUAUAUCACCUGUCAGACAUCACCUAUCCCUAAUUGGCAUUGGUAGAACAGUGUCUGUGUAUAUGUUUUUACCGAUGCAUGAUAUGCAGAGAUCUGGCACUCAACACAUCAACUCAACACAUCCACAAUGAGGUCAUUAUUAAUAAACAGUACAGCACAAAUGUUCAGUAAUAACAACACCCUUUUCAUUCCAUGUGUCACUGAGGAACUCUGCUUCAACUCUGCCUAUUUCUACAGAUGGACUGGAGAUGCUUUUUGCCAGAUGGCAGACUCAGUCUGAUGGGGAGACCGUCAUUGGGUAGGUUUUAUUUGACCUGUUCAAACUUCAACAUAGUACCUGUUUGUGUUUCAGAUGGUAUCUAUCCUAACUGCCAUUGGUAAUAGAACAGUGACUAUGUGUGUAUGUGUUCACAGAAACAUAUAUAUGCAGCCAGCACAUGGAGACUUGCAAGAUGAUGGGAUGACUCCAGUCCAGACUGACAGACGGGCUUGAAACUGAUGUCUCUGAAUGGAGAGAGACCUGGCACUCGGCAUUACAAUUUUACAAGACAGAACUUUUACUUGUAUUGUCUUUUUUUAAUGAUUGAAUUGUAUUGUAUCUGGGGAGGGAGAAACCUUGUGUAUUCUGCACCGGGAAAAGGGAACUCCUGGACACCACACCGUAAUGAACACGAGAGAAACAGAGAGCUGGUUUCAAGCGCAGAGCGCAGCAGGUGUUUAAUAAAUAAAUGUUUUGACUGUUUUGACCAAGUUAAUCUGCUCAUGUUGUGUGUGUUCAAUUACUUGUGAUAUUGUGGCAUUUAAAGCAUAUUGAUGAGUUCUGAGGGCCGAUCUGUGAUAUCCAACUAUUUGGUUUAAUAGCCCGGCUACUUUAGGUGUGAAACUCCACCCAACUUGCAAUGUAUUCGAUGCUUAAGCUCUCUAAAGUUUAAUACAUAUAUAUAGAUACACACACAUAUAUAUACAGUUGAAGUCGGAAGUUUGCAUACACCUUAGCCAAAUACAUUUAAACUCAGUUAUUAACAAUACCUGACAUUUAUUCCUAGUAAAAGUUCCCUGUCUUGGGUCAGUUAGGAUCACCACUUUAUUGUAAGAAUGUGAAAUGUCAGAAUAAUAGUAGAGAGAAUGAUUUAUUUCAGCUUUUAUUUCUUUC